GUGAAUAUUUGGUAUGUAGAGGAUCUGCAGGCUAGGUAAAGUGAAAAAAUAGGGAUUGAAAUCAGGAUUUUUGGUGUUUGGUCUGAUUGGAACAAGUCAAGUUAGUGAUGAAGGUGAUGUUGAGUUCAAGGCUGUUCUUUUUGUUCCUCCAAAGGCUCCUCAUGAUCUGUAUGGGAGUUACUACAAUGCUAACAAGUCCAACUUGAAGUUAUACGUCAGACGUGUCUUCAUCUCAGAUGGAUUCGAUGAUCUUCUGCCCAAGUACCUGAACUUUUUGAUGGGAAACACAUUAGGAAGUUGGUUAAAGAUGGAUUCAUCAGC
Long non-coding RNA from Papaver somniferum (opium poppy), 321 nucleotides. RefSeq lists it as uncharacterized. Lineage: Eukaryota; Viridiplantae; Streptophyta; Magnoliopsida; Ranunculales; Papaveraceae. The transcript has 3 exons. The record is from RefSeq and is a predicted model, not a curated record.